UACGUAGGGUGCGAGCGUUGUCCGGAUUUAUUGGGCGUAAAGAGCUCGUAGGCGGUUUGUCGCGUCGGCCGUGAAAUCUCCACGCUUAACGUGGAGCGUGCGGUCGAUACGGGCAGACUUGAGUUCGGUAGGGGAGACUGGAAUUCCUGGUGUAGCGGUGAAAUGCGCAGAUAUCAGGAGGAACACCGGUGGCGAAGGCGGGUCUCUGGGCCGAUACUGACGCUGAGGCGCGAAAGCUAGGGGAGCAAACGGG
This 253-nucleotide ribosomal RNA is filed under the name uncultured bacterium. Its description in RNAcentral is "partial 16S ribosomal RNA". It matches the Rfam family "Bacterial small subunit ribosomal RNA", at positions 524 to 776 of the family's 1533-position model. The record is from RNAcentral.